UUUGGAUGUGGGAUUAUGGGGCAUCUGAUUAGGGUAGAGGAGGAGGGGAAUAUAACAUCAAAGUUAACUUUUGGGCCAUAGAUGAGAACAAACUCAUUUCACCGCAACCUCUUUAUCCCUAAGCCUCCUUCCAAUUCCCAUGCCAUCACAAACCAUCCCUCAAGCCAAACACAAUAGCUCUAAAAUUAGCCACUAACAACCUUAUCUGCAACUAACCACUUAUCUCUCUAGGGAAUCAUCUAUCCUCCAACUCCAAUACAUCACCUAAUAUAACCAUGAACAUCUCUCUUCCACAAAAAACAACGGAUAAAACAAAUCUUAGGUAUACUUUACUACCUAUUGCAGCCGCCGACUCUCCUUCUAACACUCCACAGUUGCCAACGAUCUCAAUUUUUCAAACUCAAAUCCAAACCCAUAGCAUUACUGAGCCACAAUCGAGUUCUAAUCGAGUUGCAAAUCGUACCUUUUUUUAUCAUGAACAGAGCCUUGGUGUGAAUGCAAAAUGAAACUUCCUUUUUAGUGAUUCAUUGGGUAGUGAACCAAUCUUAAACCCCUCAAACAAUGAUAGUAGCAGCACCCAAACUUCCCGGAUCUUUUUGGUUAAUAUCUUGCUAGUAUUGGUAUAAAAGGAGUUAACACCCCCAGAUUUUUUAAAGAUUAUCCUUAUCUGCUCUCAUACUUUCAACAUGGCACAGUUGCCUCUAGCCACCCUAACCAGACAAAAGGUCAGACCUCCUCCAUCCCCGUAGAAGGAAAUCCUACCAACCCUUCUUUUAUCUUUUUUGGAAGUAGAUGUUACUGAACUAAACCUUUUCUCCAAGGUCUAGUAGCAUACUACAUCACAAGGCCUAUUUCUUUCUACCCAAGACCAAACAACAACCAAGCCCAUAAACAGCACUAAACCUAAUCACCAACCUAGCACAUCUUAGGACUUGCAAAAAUAAGCUCUCUCAGAAAAUCAUGGCCUUUUAACCGUCCCUCGUGUCAACCUGGACCCUCAUGAGCUAAUAUACCACAGGAUGAGCUAGUUAAAAUAGCUAUUGAUCUCUUUAAGCCCAAUUUAUCUCAGAGACAGAAAAAAGGCUUUGUAGAGCAGAAGUUUCGAACUGCAAAAAAUUAAGACAAGGAAGUUGAUAAUAAUCUACCCAAAUAGAAGUGUUGUUGGAAGAGGUUAGCUAGAGUAGGGAAUGCGACUAACUAGGGUGUGAUUAUUCGAGAAAUUUCAAAUAAGUCACAACAAUCUUAGGAGAAUGAAGUAACACCUUCUCAACAAUUGAGCAAUGAGAUAAGGUAUCGAGUGGAUGAAAAUUCUGAGCAAGAAAACUAGAAGACCUGCACUUCUCACUCUCAAUCUGACAUGGUGGAGAUAGCCAACCAGAAAUGGCCCCAAAUGGAUAAAUGAAACUUCUAAGUUGGAAUUGUCAGGGCGUGGGGAACCCCCUGACUUUCCACCACUUAAAAGGGUUAUGCUCCACCCAUUCACUGGAUAUUAUCUUCUUGAUGGAGACCAAAAAUAAAGGUAAUUUUGUGAAGAAGUAGAUGAACAAAUGUGGUUUCUUUGACGUAUCUAUUAGAGAUCCCAGGGGCUCAGCUGGGGGAUUAUGUCUUGCAUGGAAGGGGGGUUGUGAUAUCUCUAUGAUUCAUGUUAAAGACUUUUUUAUUCAUGCUUGUAUUGUUGGCCCUUUGAUUAAUGAAAAAUGGAAUGCUCUUUUUGUUUUACGCUAGA
RNAcentral lists this unclassified non-coding RNA (1726 nucleotides) under Hevea brasiliensis (rubber tree). Lineage: Eukaryota; Viridiplantae; Streptophyta; Magnoliopsida; Malpighiales; Euphorbiaceae. The record is from RNAcentral.